UUGGAGGGCAAGUCUGGUGCCAGCAGCCGCGGUAAUUCCAGCUCCAAUAGCGUAUAUUAAAGUUGUUGCAGUUAAAAAGCUCGUAGUUGAAUUUCGGGAUCAAUAUGUCGGUCGUGCCUUCGGUACGUACUGGCAUCAUUGGUUUCUCCCUUCUGACAAACCAUGAUGUCGUUAAUUUGGUGUUAUGGGGAGUUAGGACUGUUACUUUGAAAAAAUUAGAGUGUUUAAAGCAGGCAUUAGCUUGAAUACAUUAGCAUGGAAUAAUGAAAUAGGACGUUUGACCCUAUUUUGUUGGUUUCUAGGAUCGACGUAAUGAUUAAUAGGGAUAGUUGGGGGCAUUAGUAUUCAAUUGUCAGAGGUGAAAUUCUUGGAUUUAUUGAAGACUAACUACUGCGAAAGCAUUUGCCAAGGAUGUUUUCAUUAAUCAAGAACGAAAGUUAGGGGAUCGAAGACGAUCAGAUACCGUCGUAGUCUUAACCAUAAACUAUGCCGACUAGGGAUCGGAUGAUGUUAAUUUUUUAAUGACUUAUUCGGCGCCUUACGGGAAAC
This 549-nucleotide ribosomal RNA is filed under the name uncultured Glomeromycotina. RNAcentral's name for it is "SSU rRNA". It matches the Rfam family "Eukaryotic small subunit ribosomal RNA", at positions 548 to 1098 of the family's 1831-position model. The record is from RNAcentral. Lineage: Eukaryota; Fungi; Glomeromycota.